RNAcentral lists this transfer RNA (68 nucleotides) under Loxodonta africana (African savanna elephant). It matches the Rfam family "tRNA". From Rfam's summary of the family: Transfer RNA (tRNA) molecules are approximately 80 nucleotides in length. The record is from Rfam by way of RNAcentral. Lineage: Eukaryota; Metazoa; Chordata; Mammalia; Proboscidea; Elephantidae.
GUGGUGGCUCAGGGGUAGAGUCCUCACCUUCCACGUGGGAGAUCUGGGUUCAAUUCCCGGCCAGCACA